AUUGAACGCUGGCGGCAGGCCUAACACAUGCAAGUCGAACGGUAACAGGAAGCAGCUUGCUGCUUUGCUGACGAGUGGCGGACGGGUGAGUAAUGUCUGGGAAACUGCCUGAUGGAGGGGGAUAACUACUGGAAACGGUAGCUAAUACCGCAUAACGUCGCAAGACCAAAGAGGGGGACCUUCGGGCCUCUUGCCAUCGGAUGUGCCCAGAUGGGAUUAGCUAGUAGGUGGGGUAAAGGCUCACCUAGGCGACGAUCCCUAGCUGGUCUGAGAGGAUGACCAGCCACACUGGAACUGAGACACGGUCCAGACUCCUACGGGAGGCAGCAGUGGGGAAUAUUGCACAAUGGGCGCAAGCCUGAUGCAGCCAUGCCGCGUGUAUGAAGAAGGCCUUCGGGUUGUAAAGUACUUU
Molecule: ribosomal RNA, 412 nt
Filed under: uncultured Escherichia sp.
Lineage: Bacteria; Pseudomonadati; Pseudomonadota; Gammaproteobacteria; Enterobacterales; Enterobacteriaceae
Description: bacterial SSU rRNA
Rfam family: Bacterial small subunit ribosomal RNA
Source: RNAcentral